AAGGUGUUUAAUGCUAGCUUUCUUUUUGGUGUUAGCCGGUAAAGCAUGCGGGUAUUUUGAGCGUAGCUUAGUAAUUUGUGGUUCAGUCAGCUUAUAUUAAAGGUUAAAUUUGUGCCAGCAUCUGCGGUUACACUUGAUUUAGGGCCAAAAUAAACCAGAUAGACUACUAAGGUAUAGAUAGUUGAUUUUUUGUGGUGAAAUAGUAAAUUAAGUCGUAGCUAUUAGAAUAAGGUCAGGUUUUACGGAACCAGGAUUAGAUACCCUGCUACUUGUGAUUAACUCUAAGGAUUAAAGAUACAAAUUAUACGAUUUGGCGGCUUGCUAGUUUUAGGGGAGUUUGCUUUUGAUCGAUGAGCCUCGUUUUUUCUUAUUUUAGUAAUCUAUGUACACCGUCAUUUAGGUAGUUUUAGAAAAAUAACUAGGUUAGUUAGUUAAGUAAGCUAGAUCAAGGUGCAGGGUGCUACAAAUAAUAGUUAACUACAAUAAAUAGUAUUACAUAGGCUAGACAUAAAAUUUAUAAUAAGUGGACUUAAUAGUAAUUUAGUUUUGUUUGAUGUCACUUAGUUAGUGUACAAAUUGCCCGUCAAUCUCUUUGAGAUAAGUCGAAACAAAGUAGACACACCUGAAGGUGUGUC
Molecule: non-coding RNA, 635 nt
Filed under: Gammarus chevreuxi
Lineage: Eukaryota; Metazoa; Arthropoda; Malacostraca; Amphipoda; Gammaridae
Source: RNAcentral